UACGAAGGGUGCAAGCGUUACUCGGAAUUACUGGGCGUAAAGCGUGCGUAGGUGGUUCGUUAAGUCUGUCGUGAAAUCCCCGGGCUCAACCUGGGAACUGCAUCCGAGACUGCAUUGCUAGAGUAUGGGAGAGGGAAGCGGAAUUUCUGGUGUAGCAGUGAAAUGCGUAGAUAUCAGAAGGAACAUCAGUGGCGAAGGCGGCUUCCUGGACCAAUACUGACGAUCAGGUGCGAAAGCGUGGGGAGCAAACAGG
This 253-nucleotide ribosomal RNA is filed under the name uncultured bacterium. RNAcentral describes it as "partial 16S ribosomal RNA". It matches the Rfam family "Bacterial small subunit ribosomal RNA", at positions 524 to 776 of the family's 1533-position model. The record is from RNAcentral.